CGGGGCGUAGCGCAGGGGUUAGCGCGUCCGUUUGGGGUGCGGAAGGUCGCUGGUUCGAGUCCAGUCGCCCCGACCA
Molecule: transfer RNA, 76 nt
Filed under: Dictyoglomus sp.
Lineage: Bacteria; Pseudomonadati; Dictyoglomota; Dictyoglomia; Dictyoglomales; Dictyoglomaceae
Also listed under: 3 other names
Description: tRNA-Pro
Rfam family: tRNA
About the family: Transfer RNA (tRNA) molecules are approximately 80 nucleotides in length. Their secondary structure includes four short double-helical elements and three loops (D, anti-codon, and T loops).
Source: RNAcentral